Molecule: long non-coding RNA, 240 nt
Filed under: Lathyrus oleraceus (garden pea)
Lineage: Eukaryota; Viridiplantae; Streptophyta; Magnoliopsida; Fabales; Fabaceae
Description: Pisum sativum (pea) long non-coding RNA (PSAT_LNC034159)
Source: RNAcentral
UGCCUUGUUUUGUCUCUCCAUUGAACGCCUUUCUCCAUCCACAGUAGUGAUGAUUUGAAUUUAAGAAUCUCCGAUGACCGAGAAAGACAUUCUUCUGACCAAACUCCAAGCGCUUCCAAUCUGUUUUAUCUUCACAAAUAGAACACGCACAUUGACCUUUUAUGCUAUACCCUGAUAGAUUUCCGUAUGCUGGAAAAUCAUUAAUUGUGCCAAACAACAUCGCCCUCAAGUUGAAACUUU